RNAcentral lists this unclassified non-coding RNA (307 nucleotides) under Hevea brasiliensis (rubber tree). Lineage: Eukaryota; Viridiplantae; Streptophyta; Magnoliopsida; Malpighiales; Euphorbiaceae. The record is from RNAcentral.
UAAAGCUUUGUAUCUCGUUCUGCCGAACGUGUUUGUAUCGCCCAGUAUCAGCAUGGGUAUUUACUUUUUGAUUUACAAUUAUAAGUGCAUCUCCGACAAGUUCAAUCUAUUACCAUACUCACUCGUCGCUUUCUUUUUCUCAGAUUGCAAUUCCGAACGGUCAUAUACACACAUACUCAUAUCAAGUUAUAGACCCAUCAGAUUACAUCUCAAUUGUUGCAAGGAACUUGAAUAACCCAGACGCCUCAAGCCUUAAUUGAAGCGCUUCUUAAACAACGAAUGCCUCUUGGAUGGAUCCUUGGCUUUG